RNAcentral lists this ribosomal RNA (675 nucleotides) under Burmoniscus meeusei. RNAcentral describes it as "bacterial SSU rRNA". It matches the Rfam family "Eukaryotic small subunit ribosomal RNA", at positions 18 to 619 of the family's 1831-position model. The record is from RNAcentral. Lineage: Eukaryota; Metazoa; Arthropoda; Malacostraca; Isopoda; Philosciidae.
CAGUAGUCAUAUGCUUGUCUCAAAGAUUAAGCCAUGCAUGUAUCAGUACUUGUUGACCUAAGACGAAACCGCGAACGGCUCAUUAAAUCAGUCAUAUUCCAUUGGAUGUUGAGACAUCCUUACUCGGAUAACUGUGGUAAUUCUAGAGCUAAUACGUGCAACCUAAGCUCCGACCUCGGUCUCCUCGAAGGAGGGCUCGAGGGAAGGGCGCAUUUAUUAGACCAAAAACCGGGUGGAACGAUUCGGUCGGGUGGUCGCUCGUUCUUCCACCGUCCGAUCCUCCUCUCGCGUUAUGUGGUGACUCUGGAUAACUACAGCCGAGCGCUGAGGUCUCUGUACCGGCGCCGUAUCCUUCGAGUGUCUGCCUUAUCAGCUCUCGAUUGUAGGUUAUUCGCCUACAAUGGCUGUAACGGGUAACGGGGAAUCAGGGUUCGAUUCCGGAGAGGGAGCCUGAGAAACGGCUACCACAUCUAAGGAAGGCAGCAGGCACGCAAAUUACCCAAUCCCAGCUCGGGGAGGUAGUGACGAAAAAUAACGAUGUGGGACUCUUCCGAGGCCUCACAAUCGGAAUGAGUUCGAUUUAAAUACGUGGACGAGGAUCCAUUGGAGGGCAAGUCUGGUGCCAGCAGCUGCGGUAAUUCCAGCUCCAAUAGCGUAUAUUAAAGUUGCUGCGGU